RNAcentral lists this ribosomal RNA (2218 nucleotides) under human gut metagenome. Its description in RNAcentral is "bacterial LSU rRNA". It matches the Rfam family "Bacterial large subunit ribosomal RNA", at positions 208 to 2425 of the family's 2925-position model. The record is from RNAcentral.
ACCCGGAGGAAAAGAAAUCAAACGAGAUGCCCACAGUAGCGGCGAGCGAAGAGGGCAGAGCCCAAACCUGUAAGCUACGGCUUAUGGGGGUUGAGGACUGACGUAAUUAAGGCCAGGCUUAGCUGAACUACCUGGGAAGGUAGGCGAUAGAAGGUAAGAGCCCUGUAAGCGAAAGGCAGAGCCUUAAGGUCAGUAUCCAGAGUACCACGGAGCACGAGGAAUUCUGUGGGAAGCAGGGGGGACCACCCUCCAAGGCUAAAGACUAACUGGCAACCGAUAGCGCAUAGUACCGUGAGGGAAAGGUGAAAAGAACCCCGGGAGGGGAGUGAAAUAGUACCUGAAACCGUAUGUCUACAAGCAGUCGGAGCGAAAGCGACGGCGUGCCUAUUGAAGAAUGAACCAACGAGUUAUCUGCACUAGCGAGGUUAAGUGGAAGACACGGAGCCGUAGCGAAAGCGAGUCUGAAAAGGGCGGCGAGUUAGUGUAGGUAGACCCGAAACCGCAGUGAUCUACCCAUGUCCAGGUUGAAGCGCAGGUAAAAAUGCGUGGAGGACCGAACCGGUGAGCGUUGAAAAGCUUUCGGAUGAGAUGUGGGUAGGGGUGAAAUUCCAAUCGAACGCGGAGAUAGCUGGUUCUCCCCGAAAUAGCUUUAGGGCUAGCCUCAGGUAGUAAGUAUAGGCGGUAGAGCACUGAUCGGGCUAGGGGCCAUAAAGGUUACCGAACCCUGUCAAACUCCGAAUGGAUAUACUGCAGAGCCUGGGAGUCAGACUACGAGUGAUAAGAUCCGUGGUCAAAAGGGAAACAGCCCAGACCACCGGCUAAGGUCCCAAAUGCCGUACUAAGUGGAAAAGGAUGUGGGGAUUCAUAAACAACCAGGAUGUUGGCUCAGAAGCAGCCACCAUUUAAAGAGUGCGUAAUAGCUCACUGGUCGAGAGUCCCUGCGCCGAAAAUUUCCGGGGCUAAAGUACGGAACCGAAGCCGUGGCUGUGUACGUAAGUACACGGGGUAGGGGAGCGUUGCCACAGGGGUGAAGCUGGUCUGGAAGGACUGGUGGACUUGUGGGAAGUGAGAAUGUUGGUAUGAGUAGCGAAAAGAAAGGUGAGAAUCCUUUCCACCGAAAGCAUAAGGAUUCCUGAGCAACGAUCGUCGUCUCAGGGUAAGUCGGGACCUAAUCCGAGGCAAAGAGCGUAGGAGAUGGACAACAGGUUGAUAUUCCUGUACCGGCAGCAAUUGUUUGAGCGAAGGAGUGACACAGAAGGGCAGGCAGGCGCGAGACUGGAUUGUCGCGUGCAAGCGUGUAGGGUAGUGUACAGGCAAAUCCGUACACUGAGAGCCUGAGGCGUUACGCGGAGCGAGCAGAGAUGCGAGCGAAGCUGCUGAUCCCACACUGUCGAGAAAAGCUUCUAGUGAGAGAGCUGCCGCCCGUACCGUAAACCGACACAGGUAUGCGGGGAGAGAAUCCUAAGGUGCGCGGGAGAACCCUCGUUAAGGAACUCGGCAAAAUGUACCCGUAACUUCGGGAUAAGGGUAGCCGUCUUGGUGAAGGAGCAUGCCUCUGGAGCUAAAGGCGGUCGCAGAGAAGAGGCCCAAGCGACUGUUUACCACAAACACAGGUGCCUGCUAAAGCGAAAGCUGACGUAUAGGUGCUGACACCUGCCCAGUGCUGGAAGGUUAAGGAAGGAUGUCCGGGCAACCAAAGCAUUCGACCGAAGCCCCAGUGAACGGCGGCCGUAACUAUAACGGUCCUAAGGUAGCGAAAUUCCUUGUCGGGUAAGUUCCGACCCGCACGAAAGGUGUAACGAUUUGGGCACUGUCUCAACGAGGGACCCGGUGAAAUUGAAAUACCUGUGAAGAUGCAGGUUACCCGCGACUGGACAGAAAGACCCCAUGGAGCUUUACUGUAACCUGACAUUGGGUUUUGUUGUAUUACGUACAGGAUAGGUGGGAGGCUUGGAAGGCUGGACGCUAGUCUGGCUGGAGCCGGCGUUGGGAUACCACCCUUGAUACAACGGAAUUCUAACCGAGAGAGUAACGAAAUCCGGGACAGUGUCAGGCGGGCAGUUUGACUGGGGCGGUCGCCUCCGAAAGAGUAACGGAGGCGCCCAAAGGUUCCCUCAGCGCGGCCGGAAAUCGCGCGAAGAGUGUAAAGGCAGAAGGGAGCUUGACUGCGAGCCAAACACGGCGAGCAGGUACGAAAGUAGGGCUUAGUGAUCCGGUG